This is a small nuclear RNA of Neogale vison (American mink), 104 nucleotides long. The record is from Ensembl. NCBI's taxonomy places the organism in Eukaryota, Metazoa, Chordata, Mammalia, Carnivora, Mustelidae.
GUGCUCGCUUUGGCCGCACAUAUACUGAAAUUGGAAUGAUACAGAGAUUAGCAUGGCCCCUGCACAAGGAUGACAUGCAAAUUUGAGAAGCAUUCCAUAUUUUA